CCUACGGGCGGCAGCAGUGAGGAAUAUUGGUCAAUGGACGAGAGUCUGAACCAGCCAAGUAGCGUGAAGGAUUACUGCCCUAUGGGUUGUAAACUUCUUUUAUAUGGGAAUAAAAUGUUCCACGUGUGGGAUUUUGUAUGUACCAUGUGAAUAAGGCUCGGCUAAAUCCGUGCCAGCAGCCGCGGUAAUACGGAGGAUUCGAGUGUUAUCCGGAUUUAUUGGGUUAAAGGGAGCGCAGGGGGGUUGUUAAGUCAGUUGUGAAAGGUUGCGGGUCAACCGUCAAAUUGCAGUUGAAACUGGCAGUCUUGAGUACAGUAGAGGUGGGCGGAAUUCGUGGUGUAGCGGUGAAAUGCUUAGAUAUCACGAAGAACUCCGAUUGCGAAGGCAGCUCACUGGACUGCAACUGACACUGAGGCUCGAAAGUGUGGGUAUCAAACAGGAUUAGAUACCCCAGUAGUC
This 459-nucleotide ribosomal RNA is filed under the name uncultured bacterium. Its description in RNAcentral is "partial 16S ribosomal RNA". It matches the Rfam family "Bacterial small subunit ribosomal RNA", at positions 338 to 795 of the family's 1533-position model. The record is from RNAcentral.